This 440-nucleotide ribosomal RNA is filed under the name uncultured bacterium. RNAcentral describes it as "partial 16S ribosomal RNA". It matches the Rfam family "Bacterial small subunit ribosomal RNA", at positions 338 to 795 of the family's 1533-position model. The record is from RNAcentral.
CCUACGGGUGGCAGCCGUGGGGAAUAUUGCACAAUGGGGGAAACCCUGAUGCAGCGACGCCGCGUGAGUGAAGAAGUAUUUCGGUAUGUAAAGCUCUAUCUGCAGGGCAGACAAUGACGGUACCUGUCUAAGAAUCCCCGGCGAAAUACGAGCCAGCAGCCGCGGUAAUACGUAGGGGGCAAGCGUUAUCCGGAUUUACUGGGUGUAAUGGGAGCGGAGACGGCAUGACAAGUCAGAAGUGAAAGCCCAGGGGCCACCCCUGGGACUGCUUUAGAAACUGCCGGGCUGGAGUGCAGGAGAGGUAAGCGGAAUGCCUGGUGUAGCGGUGAAAUGCGGAGAUAUUAGGAAGAACACCAGUGGCGAAGGCGGCUUACUGGACUGUAACUGACGUUGAGGCUCGAAAGCGUGGGGAGCAAACAGGAUUAGAUACCCUGGUAGUC